RNAcentral lists this ribosomal RNA (220 nucleotides) under Centropomus undecimalis. RNAcentral's name for it is "partial small subunit ribosomal RNA". It matches the Rfam family "Bacterial small subunit ribosomal RNA", at positions 492 to 794 of the family's 1533-position model. Lineage: Eukaryota; Metazoa; Chordata; Actinopteri; Centropomidae. The record is from RNAcentral.
GUCGGUAAAACUCGUGCCAGCCACCGCGGUUAAACGAGAGGCUCAAGCUGAUAGACAACGGCGUAAAGCGUGGUUAAGGAAAUACAAUCAAACUAAAGCCGAACGUUUUCAGGGCCGUGGCAGGCUUUACGAAAUUCUGAAGACCAACAACGAAGGUAGCUUUAACACCCCCGAACCCACGAAAGCUAAGAAACAAACUGGGAUUAGAUACCCCACUAUG